GCCUCGUUUGGAAAAACUUAUUCAUCAAAUGGAUGUACCUAACACCGUCUGAGAUAAGUUUUUUCGGACGGAGGUAUUGGCCGCUCAUUCUUUUCCGUCGGGCUCUGCCACCGGCCGGCACGCUCGUAAUGGUAUGGAUAUUUUUUUUGAAUGUUGGCAGGAGAACUGCCAAAUUCAUUGAUCAGAAGAAGGUAUGGGUAUGGUAUGGGUGCUUUCCUCCUCUGAGGAUUCCUGUAAUGGUAUGGGUAUGGUCGUAUCGUAUCAACCACUGGCGAAGACUCCAAACUGCUCAACACAGGGGCGACAAGCCGACAAGUCAACCCGGCAGCGUACGAGCUCAAGCAUCAAAGGCUAGCAGAGGAAGGCCGGCCUCCACCUUCCAGGUGCUCCAGCUCCCCCACUGACCCGCCACUAUGCCGAUGGACACCCCGCCGCCGCGCGGGGCGGCGCUGUCCGACGACGACCGCCUCCUCGUCGCCCACUGCGCCGCGCUUUCCUUCCCCUCCGCCUCCCGCUCCCCGACCUCCGCUGCCUCCGCCUCCUUCCAGGUGCACCACGCGUCCCACCCCUACCCCUGCGCCGCCUUCGUCUUCCAGCCCACCUGGUCCGCCGCCGGCUGGAUGCCCUCCUCCCCCGACGCCGGCGGCCGCGCGCCGUUUGGGGACGCUGAGGUCGACCCCGCGCUCUUCCCGUCGCUGCGCAGCGUCGGGAGCGGCGUCCCCGCGCGCGCCAGCGCCGCCUUCGUCGCCGCCUUCAGGGGCCUGCUCGACGGCUCGCCGCUCCAAACCGAGGUAUCUAAAGCGGUGGCAGAGGAGAAACGCGUCGUAUUCACAGGCCAUUCAUCUGGAGGUUCAAUAGCCACCCUUGCUGCCAUAUGGUUUCUUGAGAACUGCACGAGACGGGGAAGUGUCAAUCAAGCACAGCCAUUUUGCGUGACCUUUGGGGCACCUCUUGUUGGCGAUAAUGUUUUCAACCAUGCUGUUAGAAGGGAGGGCUGGUCGCAGUGUAUUUUGCAUUUCAUCAUGCCACUGGACAUCAUCCCACGAAUACCGCUGGCCCCCCUUGAAUCCUCUAGAGAACAAAUUCAAUCUGUUCUGGAUUGGUUGUCUCCUCACAGUCCAAACUUCUCACCUGUUGGGAAUUCGCUUGUUAUUCCUGAGUUUUACGAAACUUUGUUGAGAAGCACCCUAUCUAUUGCCAGCUACGAGGCCUGUUCUUUCAUGGGAUGCACUAGCUCAAUCCUAGGGACGCUGACUUCCUUUCAUGGGAUAUCCCCUUACAGACCCUGUGGGACUUAUCUUUUCUUGACAAGCACCGAACAACUGAUUAUUCUCACAAACUCAGAUGCUGUAUUACAGUUGCUAUUUUACUGCCUUCAAUUGGAUCCCCAACAACAAUUGCUUGAUGCUGCCGCCAGAAGUUUAAGUGCUCACUGGGAAUAUGAAUCGAUUAAGCAAAAUGUGAUGCAAGAGAUAGUUUGUGUGGAUUACCUAAGAGCAAUUUCAUCAUCCCUUCCUGGUAGACAGAUGAAUGGGACAGCAAUUGGUGGCCUUGAACUGAGUAAGGAAGCUAUGCUGAGCCUUGCUGCUGCUGCACAAUGGGAGAAGCAAAGAGAGAUAAACCAAGCAAAGAUAGAUGCAAACUGCAGUAAAAUUCAGGAAGCCCUCAAGUCCUUGAAUGAGUACAAAAGAACAUGCGAGCUGCAUGAAGUGAGCUACUAUGAUUCCUUCAAGCUUCAGCGGGAAGUGCAUGACUUCAAUUCAAAUGUACGGAGGCUGGAACUAGCCGGCCUUUGGGACGAGAUAAUUGAGAUGUUGCGAAGGCGUGAGCUUCCAGACGCGUUCGAAGGGCGAGAAGAGUGGGUGAAUCUGGGAACCUCGUACCGUCGGCUGGUUGAGCCCCUGGACAUUGCAAACUACUACAGGCAUUCCAAGAACGAGGACACCGGCUCCUACCUCUCCAAGGGCAGGCCGAGACGUUACAAGUAUACUCAGAAAUGGCGCGAGCAGUUGCACCGCAUCCCCUUGGGUUCCAGCCUCGAGUCGUGCUUCUGGGCAAUGUCCGAGGAGCUGCAGGCUGAGAUGAUCAACGGCAAAUCAUUCGAGGAUUUGAAAGACAGGGUGGGUAAACUGGAGAGUGAUGCACUUGGAUGGUUCACCUCGGGAAAUCUUGGCAGGGAUGUGUUUCUGAGCAGCUCAUCCUUUGUGAUAUGGUGGAAGACACUCCCGGAGCAGCACAGGUCCGCGUCGUGCAUCGCGAGACUUGUGCCUUCGUAAGAGAAUUUCUCCGUGGCAUGAUGGGGUAACCAUUUCCGAUCUAACCGGAACUGCUGCCACAGGAUAUUGUAAGCCUGAACUAUCAUGUAAAGUCAUUUGUGUGUAGUAUUCUCCGGGAUGAAAACAGACUAUUUAAAAUGCUAAACAGUCGUUGUCCAAUAAAUUGACAGGCCCA
Molecule: ribosomal RNA, 2451 nt
Filed under: Triticum aestivum (bread wheat)
Lineage: Eukaryota; Viridiplantae; Streptophyta; Magnoliopsida; Poales; Poaceae
Description: partial small subunit ribosomal RNA
Source: RNAcentral